GUUAUAGUGAUUAAUGCAGCCAAGGAAAACAUGAAGACAAGAAAGUGGAAAAUAACACAGGUACGACAAAUAAAUUAAUUCUUUCCAUUUACAUAUUAAACUGUUGGUAAGCCGACAAGAAAAGUUAUUUAGGAAAAUUAUUAUUUUAGUUAUUGCAUUUAAGACUGCUAUACCAUGUGCAGCUCAAAAAAUAGAAGUAAUG
Sinocyclocheilus anshuiensis is the source of this 202-nucleotide long non-coding RNA. RefSeq lists it as uncharacterized. The transcript is spliced from 2 exons. The record is from RefSeq and is a predicted model, not a curated record. NCBI's taxonomy places the organism in Eukaryota, Metazoa, Chordata, Actinopteri, Cypriniformes, Cyprinidae.